AUACGGAGGAUGCAAGCGUUAUCCGGAUUUAUUGGGUUUAAAGGGUGCGUAGGCGGAUGAUUAAGCGUGAGGUGAAAUGCCACUGCUCAACAGUGGAACUGCCUCGCGAACUGGUUGUCUUGAAUGCUCCUGCCGUGGGAGGAAUGUGUGGUGUAGCGGUGAAAUGCAUAGAGAUCACACAGAACACCGAUUGCGAAGGCAUCUCACGAAGGGGUGAUUGACGCUGAGGCACGAAAGCGUGGGGAUCAAACAGGAUUAGAUACCCGGGUAGUCCACGCAGUAAACGAUGAUAACUAACCGCUGGGUCGUAGUGAUUCAGUGGCCAAGCGAAAGCGAUAAGUUAUCCACCUGGGGAGUACGACCGCAAGGUUGAAACUCAAAUGAAUUGGCGGGG
This 394-nucleotide ribosomal RNA is filed under the name uncultured bacterium. Its description in RNAcentral is "partial 16S ribosomal RNA". It matches the Rfam family "Bacterial small subunit ribosomal RNA", at positions 523 to 918 of the family's 1533-position model. The record is from RNAcentral.